ACGAACGCUGGCGGCGUGCUUAACACAUGCAAGUCGAGCGGAAAGGCCUUUCGGGGUACUCGAGCGGCGAACGGGUGAGUAACACGUGAGUAACCUGCCCUCAGCUUUGGGAUAACCAUCGGAAACGGUGGCUAAUACCGAAUAUUCACUUCUCUUCGCAUGUUGGGUUGUGGAAAGUUUUUCGGCUGGGGAUGGGCUCGCGGCCUAUCAGCUUGUUGGUGGGGUGAUGGCCUACCAAGGCUUUGACGGGUAGCCGGCCUGAGAGGGCGACCGGCCACACUGGGACUGAGACACGGCCCAGACUCCUACGGGAGGCAGCAGUGGGGAAUAUUGCACAAUGGGCGGAAGCCUGAUGCAGCGACGCCGCGUGAGGGAUGACGGCCUUCGGGUUGUAAACCUCUUUCAGCAGGGACGAAGCGAAAGUGACGGUACCUGCAGAAGAAGCGCCGGCCAACUACGUGCCAGCAGCCGCGGUAAGACGUAGGGCGCGAGCGUUGUCCGGAUUUAUUGGGCGUAAAGAGCUCGUAGGCGGCUUGUUGCGUCGUCCGUGAAAACCUGGGGCUCAACUCCAGGCUUGCGGUCGAUACGGGCAGGCUAGAGUUCGGUAGGGGAGACUGGAAUUCCUGGUGUAGCGGUGAAAUGCGCAGAUAUCAGGAGGAACACCGGUGGCGAAGGCGGGUCUCUGGGCCGAUACUGAC
RNAcentral lists this ribosomal RNA (698 nucleotides) under Catellatospora sp. L1989. Its description in RNAcentral is "bacterial SSU rRNA". It matches the Rfam family "Bacterial small subunit ribosomal RNA", at positions 29 to 744 of the family's 1533-position model. The record is from RNAcentral. Lineage: Bacteria; Bacillati; Actinomycetota; Actinomycetes; Micromonosporales; Micromonosporaceae.